GCAUGGUGGUUUAGUGGUUAGCACGUUUGCCUCACACCUCCGCGGUUGGGGGUUCGAAUCCUGCGGCCAUGUG
This is a non-coding RNA of Ameiurus melas (black bullhead), 73 nucleotides long. The record is from the annotation of a GenBank genome assembly. Lineage: Eukaryota; Metazoa; Chordata; Actinopteri; Siluriformes; Ictaluridae.